Molecule: ribosomal RNA, 497 nt
Filed under: uncultured bacterium
Lineage: Bacteria
Description: partial 16S ribosomal RNA
Rfam family: Bacterial small subunit ribosomal RNA
Source: RNAcentral
GAUGAACGCUGGCGGCGUGCCUAAUACAUGCAAGUCGAGCGAACGGACGAGAAGCUUGCUUCUCUGAUGUUGGCGGCGGACGGGUGAGUAACACGUGGAUAACCUACCUAUAAGACUGGGAUAACUUCGGGAAACCGUAGCUAAUACCGGAUAAUAUUUUGAACCGCAUGGUUCAAAAGUGAAAGACGGUCUUGCUGUCACUUAUAGAUGGAUCCGCGCUGCAUUAGCUAGUUGGUAAGGUAACGGCUUACCAAGGCAACGAUGCAUAGCCGACCUGAGAGGGUGAUCGGCCACACUGGAACUGAGACACGGUCCAGACUCCUACGGGAGGCAGCAGUAGGGAAUCUUCCGCAAUGGGCGAAAGCCUGGCGGAGCAACGCCGCGUGAGUGAUGAAGGUCUUCGGAUCGUAAAACUCUGUUAUUAGGGAAGAACAUAUGUGUAAGUAACUGUGCACAUCUUGACGGUACCUAAUCAGAAAGCCACGGCUAACUACGUG